Molecule: long non-coding RNA, 780 nt
Organism: Vicia villosa (hairy vetch)
Lineage: Eukaryota; Viridiplantae; Streptophyta; Magnoliopsida; Fabales; Fabaceae
Exons: 3
Source: RefSeq, a predicted model, not a curated record
UAACUUGAACGUAAAACAAAAAGCGCGAUUGUACAGAAAACCUAGAAACGCUCCACCGAUUGAAAAUUCACAACCACCGAUUGAAGAUUCACAACCACCGAUAGAAGAUUCACAGCCACAGAAAACCUAGAUUCACAACCAUGGAUUGAAGAUUCACAACCACCAAUUGAAGAUUCACAUCCACAGAAGUUAUUCUCGUCGUUCUUCUGAGUACGUAGACGACGGGAUAUAUUCGAGACUCCGCAUUUGAACCGCGUCGUUGGAUUGCUCCUGGACAAGACUCUAUACAUACUGCUGCUUGUUAAUUUAGAGUUGGUUGAUCUCAUCUCAAGUCAUCUGAGUUGUUUUCUGCAAAGCAUAAUUCAUCUCUGGUUGGACCUAAUUUUGUUGUUCAAAGGCUCACUUCACCACUUCGUACAAAAAAUCGGUAUUCCAUUUGUGCCUUAUAUUUACAACUAGUGAAUCAGCAGUUAAAAUAAAACCAAAUUGUUGGAAAUAUAUAGCCAGAUUGUUGAUAAAUUGUUGGAAAUAUAUAAGCCAAAUUGUUGAUAAAUUGUUGGAACUGAAAUUCUUACAGUUACAGUAGCACGUAGUUAAACAAUUUCAGCUUCACGAAAUCUGUAUUGAAAUGUAUAAAAAAUAUUUGUCUUGGAUAAUUUUUGUUUAGUAUUAUAAAAGAUAAAUAGAUAGAAUUGGUAGCAUCUCUAUUUUUUAGGCUUUCAGUUGCAAAGUGAAAUUUGAACAAAUUGUUGUUCAAAGUGAUUUGAACAAGAAGUUAUA